CCUACGGGUGGCAGCAGUGAGGAAUAUUGGUCAAUGGGCGCGAGCCUGAACCAGCCAAGUAGCGUGAAGGAUGACUGCCCUACGGGUUGUAAACUUCUUUUAUAAAGGAAUAAAGUGAGGCACGUGUGCCUUUUUGUAUGUAUUUUAUGAAUAAGGAUCGGCUAACUCCGUGCGAGCAGCCGCGGUAAUACGGAGGAUCCGAGCGUUAUCCGGAUUUAGUGGGUUGAAAGGGCGCGUGUAGUGGUUGUUAAGUCAGUUGGCAAAGUUUGCGGCUCAACCGUAAGAUUGAAAUUGAUACUGGCAGCCUUGAGGACAGUUGAGGUAGGCGGAAUUCGUGGUGUAGCGGUGAAAUGCUUAGAUAUCACGAAGAACUCCGAUUGCGAAGGCAGCCUACUAAACUGCCACUGACAUUGAUGCUCGAAAGUGUGGGUAUCAAACAGGAUUAGAUACCCGUGUAGUC
Molecule: ribosomal RNA, 460 nt
Filed under: uncultured bacterium
Lineage: Bacteria
Description: partial 16S ribosomal RNA
Rfam family: Bacterial small subunit ribosomal RNA
Source: RNAcentral